AUGAAGGAGACGAUGAAGAACCAGCGCCUAUUGGGCCCUGGAAAGCCACCUCGUCAUAUGACGUAUACAUGGUGGACGCACCAAAAGAUAACGACGAGGAGCGGAAGGACGCACCGAAGGCUUGUUCCCUCGAGAAGCAGUGAAAGCGGCGACGCAAGCGCCGCCCCAAAUCCCGCCUCGACAGAAAUAACGAUCACACAGACCCAGCGCUGGAGCAGGGCGAACCGCUGCCGGACAACGGCAAUCCGGAUAAUCAAACCGAACAAACAAAUUCUAUCAAGGAUAAUGGUCUGGACGACAUAA
RNAcentral lists this ribosomal RNA (303 nucleotides) under Triticum aestivum (bread wheat). Its description in RNAcentral is "partial small subunit ribosomal RNA". The record is from RNAcentral. Lineage: Eukaryota; Viridiplantae; Streptophyta; Magnoliopsida; Poales; Poaceae.